UUGAAACCAAGAAAGUUGUAGAAGAAGCUAAGGUUGAUGAGGCAGCUGAUGCUGCAGUGGAAGAGAAAGCAGAACAAGUAGUGAAACCCGACCAAGAGCCUGUUACCGUUGAGGAAACCAAAGAAGAGGCCCCUAAGGCUGAGGCUGAGGCAGCUCCGGUCCAGGAAGAGAAACCAGCUGAAGAGGAGAAGCCAGCUAAAGCACCUGAAGAAGCAGCUUCCACAGGAGUUCCAGUCGGCAAGACUGACUGAGGAAUAGAGCCCUAUCAAAAGUCGGCCAAGUUUUAUUUACUUUUACAUAAUUUUUUGUUCUAAGUCAGUCUCGUUAUUA
This 330-nucleotide long non-coding RNA is filed under the name Citrus x clementina. RNAcentral's name for it is "Citrus clementina (C. clementina) long non-coding RNA (CCLE_LNC005777)". Lineage: Eukaryota; Viridiplantae; Streptophyta; Magnoliopsida; Sapindales; Rutaceae. The record is from RNAcentral.